RNAcentral lists this ribosomal RNA (253 nucleotides) under uncultured bacterium. Its description in RNAcentral is "partial 16S ribosomal RNA". It matches the Rfam family "Bacterial small subunit ribosomal RNA", at positions 524 to 776 of the family's 1533-position model. The record is from RNAcentral.
GACAGAGGUGCCGAGCGUUAGGCGGAAUCACUGGGCUUAAAGCGUGUGUAGGCGGGUCGUUAAGUGCCUUGUGAAAUCCCACAGCUCACCUGUGGAACUGCUUGGCAUACUGGCGAUCUUGAGCCACUUAGGGGCAACCGGAACAAACGGUGGAGCGGUGAAAUGCGUAGAUAUCGGGAGGAACACCAAUUGCGAAGGCAGCUCGCUGGGACGUGACUGACGCUGAGACGCGAAAGCGUGGGGAGCAAACAGG